This 500-nucleotide ribosomal RNA is filed under the name uncultured bacterium. RNAcentral's name for it is "partial 16S ribosomal RNA". It matches the Rfam family "Bacterial small subunit ribosomal RNA", at positions 30 to 523 of the family's 1533-position model. The record is from RNAcentral.
AUUGAACGCUGGCGGCAUGCCUUACACAUGCAAGUCGAACGGCAGCACGGGAGCAAUCCUGGUGGCGAGUGGCGAACGGGUGAGUAAAGUAUCGGAACGUGCCCAGUCGUGGGGGAUAACGUAGCGAAAGUUACGCUAAUACCGCAUACGUACUAUGGCUGAAAGCGGGGGAUCGCAAGACCUCGCGCGAUUGGAGCGGCCGAUAUCAGAUUAGGUAGUUGGUGGGGUAAAGGCUCACCAAGCCGACGAUCUGUAGCUGGUCUGAGAGGACGACCAGCCACACUGGGACUGAGACACGGCCCAGACUCCUACGGGAGGCAGCAGUGGGGAAUUUUGGACAAUGGGCGAAAGCCUGAUCCAGCCAUGCCGCGUGCAGGAUGAAGGCCUUCGGGUUGUAAACUGCUUUUGUACGGAACGAAAAGGUUUGGCCUAAUAAGCUGAGCUCAUGACGGUACCGUAAGAAUAAGCACCGGCUAACUACGUGCCAGCCGCCGCAGUAA